ACUCCUACGGGAGGCAGCAGUGGGGAAUAUUGCACAAUGGGCGCAAGCCUGAUGCAGCCAUGCCGCGUGGUAUGAAGAAGGCCUUCGGGUUGUAAAGUACUUUCAGCAGUGAGGAAGGUGGGUAUGUUAAUAGCAUAUUCAUUUGACGUUAGCUGCAGAAGAAGCACCGGCUAACUACGUGCCAGCAGCCGCGGUAAUACGUAGGGUGCGAGCGUUGUCCGGAAUUACUGGGCGUAAAGGGCUCGUAGGUGGUUUGUCGCGUCGUCUGUGAAAUUCCGGGGCUUAACUCCGGGCGUGCAGGCGAUACGGGCAUAACUUGAGUACUGUAGGGGUAACUGGAAUUCCUGGUGUAGCGGUGAAAUGCGCAGAUAUCAGGAGGAACACCGAUGGCGAAGGCAGGUUACUGGGCAGUUACUGACGCUGAGGAGCGAAAGCAUGGGUAGCGAACAGGAUUAGAUACCCUGGUAGGAUAGCGU
Molecule: ribosomal RNA, 476 nt
Filed under: uncultured bacterium
Lineage: Bacteria
Description: bacterial SSU rRNA
Rfam family: Bacterial small subunit ribosomal RNA
Source: RNAcentral